Molecule: unclassified non-coding RNA, 258 nt
Filed under: Hevea brasiliensis (rubber tree)
Lineage: Eukaryota; Viridiplantae; Streptophyta; Magnoliopsida; Malpighiales; Euphorbiaceae
Source: RNAcentral
AUUUACGUCACGUAAAUAAUGGAAAACAAUCACCAGACACAAAUUCAGACCACUAAAACAUCAAGAUUCAAACGCAUAUGUGUUUUUUGUGGAAGCAGUCCAGGCAAAAAGCCAAGUUAUCAACUUGCUGCUAUUCAACUUGGCAAUCAACUGGUUGAAAGGAACAUCGACUUGGUUUAUGGAGGUGGCAGUGUGGGCUUGAUGGGCCUAGUUUCUCAAUCAGUUUUUAAUGGUGGCCGCCACGUGUUAGGGGUGAUU